GUGCCAGCAGCCGCGGUAAUACGUAGGUGGCGAGCGUUGUCCGGAAUUAUUGGGCGUAAAGCGCGCGUAGGCGGGAUAGUCAGUCUGUUGUAAAAGUGCGGGGCUCAACCCCGUAAGGUCAAUGGAAACUGCUAUUCUUGAGUGCAGGAGAGGAAAGUGGAAUUCCCAGUGUAGCGGUGAAAUGCGUAGAUAUUGGGAGGAACACCAGUGGCGAAGGCGACUUUCUGGACUGUGUCUGACGCUGAGGCGCGAAAGCCAGGGGAGCGAACGGGAUUAGAUACCCCGGUAGUCCUGGCCGUAAACGAUGGGUACUAGGUGUGGGAGGUAUCGACCCCUUCCGUGCCGGAGUUAACGCAAUAAGUACCCCGCCUGGGGAGUACGGUCGCAAGACUGAA
RNAcentral lists this ribosomal RNA (395 nucleotides) under uncultured bacterium. RNAcentral's name for it is "bacterial SSU rRNA". It matches the Rfam family "Bacterial small subunit ribosomal RNA", at positions 505 to 898 of the family's 1533-position model. The record is from RNAcentral.